RNAcentral lists this ribosomal RNA (481 nucleotides) under uncultured bacterium. Its description in RNAcentral is "partial 16S ribosomal RNA". It matches the Rfam family "Bacterial small subunit ribosomal RNA", at positions 30 to 507 of the family's 1533-position model. The record is from RNAcentral.
AUUGAACGCUGGCGGCAGGCCUAACACAUGCAAGUCGAGCGGGUGAGUUCUUCUGGCUGCGUAAUUCAGCGGACGGCUGGGGAAUGAUUGCGAAUAUUCUGGGUGGUGGGGGACAAUGACGUGCGAGGACCGCCACUAAUACCUCCGACGUCCGGGGGGAGGGGGGGGAUGUUCUGCCCUCUCGCCGUUAGCUGAGGAGAGGUCGGAUGAGCUAGUUGGUGGGGUAAAGGCCUACCAAGGCGACGAUCUGUAACUGGUCUGAGAGGAUGAUCAGUCACACUGGAACUGAGACACGGUCCAGACUCCUACGGGAGGCAGCAGUGGGGAAUAUUGGACAAUGGGCGAAAGCCUGAUCCAGCCAUGCCGCGUGUGUGAAGAAGGUCUUAGGAUUGUAAAGCACUUUCAGUUGGGAGGAAGGGUAGUAAGUUAAUACGUUGCUGUUUUGAUGUUACCAACAGAAUAAGCACCGGCUAACUCCGUG